Molecule: long non-coding RNA, 1098 nt
Organism: Etheostoma cragini (Arkansas darter)
Lineage: Eukaryota; Metazoa; Chordata; Actinopteri; Perciformes; Percidae
Exons: 4
Source: RefSeq, a predicted model, not a curated record
UAAAAAGAGAUAUAAGAAAAAAGUGGGGUUGGUUAUUAUUUAGAUUUGAACUUAUCAAGUUCUGCUUUUCGGUUCUCGUUCUUAUCGAAUCCUGGCUCCAGCUCUUGUUGUACGGUUUGAGUAAGAAAAGAAACCCAAACUGGUUGAAACCAAAAGCCAGCUAUCUUGCCAUGUACAAGUUAGAUUGUAUUAGGAACUGUAACUAUAAGAGAUUAUUUUUAUUGUUGAUGUAUUUGUUGAUAAUUUCCUCCAUGAAUGGAUUAGUUGUUUGGUCUCUAAAAUGUCAGAAAAUGGUCAAAGUAAAAAUGUGGAUCCGAGUUUCCCAAAUGGCCAAUAUGACGUCCUCAAAUGUCUUGUUUUGUCCACAACUCAAAGAUUUUCAGGUAACUGAAAUAAAGGUAGGUAAAUAAAGACGCUGCAAUCAGAUCGUUAUGACAGGUUUUUAAUUUCAAUGAAUCGAUUCAUCUUUGCGGUUUUGUUUCUCCCGGAGAUGGUUGGCUAGCUUUACCAGCUCUACCACAUUAUGACUACACUUGUGGUGAUCAGAAUACUGCAGAAUACCUGCUGAGUCAUAUUACAUUUUACUAGUCUUUUCUCGAGCUUACAGUGGUCUUACUUAAGGAAUCAAAAAGCCGUUUAAGAACAAUUUUUGAAAAAAAAUUGCCCAAAAAUGCAUCAACAGAGCUCCAAAUUCUAUUUUCUCUUGACUUAAAUAUAUAUUUAUAUUUCCAUGUAUGUGUGGUGGGUUGUAAGAGCUAAUUUUCCUCCUUAGAAGAGGAAGAAUGAGGCUGUUUUCCUCUUGUUUUGUUGCCCUGAUGCUUAGAUAGCUUGCCAAAAUGAAAUGCAAAAUGCAUCCACAACGCUCUGAAUACUAUUUUCUCUUGUCUGCAGUAUGUUUAAUUCUUCAUGUUUGUGUGGCAGGACUUCUGUGGGCACACAGCUAGUUAGUGAUGCGACCAAUACUGUAUACUUCAGAAGACGCUGUAAGUUAGCUUCUACAGAACAAAAUGUUCCUUAUUCCAUUGUUUUGGUUCGGUUUUCCUGUCAAUCUAUCUGACACUCAGGAAGAAAUGGAAGACUUUGACAUAAUGUCUCAAA